Molecule: long non-coding RNA, 1096 nt
Organism: Mus musculus (house mouse)
Lineage: Eukaryota; Metazoa; Chordata; Mammalia; Rodentia; Muridae
Product: predicted gene, 54154
Exons: 3
Source: RefSeq, a predicted model, not a curated record
UGAGAGUUGGGUGGUGGACCAAGGCAGAAAUCUACAAAUGCAACAGAUUAGGUGUAGGCUCUGUUCUGGGCCAUGUUGAAUUGGAGAUGGCUGUUCCGUCUUCAAACGACAUGCUGAGGAGACGGUUGGCUAGGUUUCUCUGGAAUUCUCCCCAAGUGCUGGGGAGUUGCAGCUUUGGGAGGCAGCAGCACACAGAUGGUUUCUGAGGAAAAUUGAUGGGCUGUACUCACCCAAGGAAUGUGUCUACACCAAGGAAGAAGCGGCACGGUCAACCCAGCAUUGAAAGGGUCAUCUGGACUAGGGAUGACUGUUAACUCAAAAGACAUGUGCCAUUAACAGUGCUAAGCUGCUAGGAUCAUGGACAACGCAAUUCUUCUCUAUGAUGUGCAGUACGAGAGCAUCUUUUUAACACACCGAAUACAAAUGUGUCACCUUCAGUCUCUCUUCUCCUCUACAAAUAGGAGGUUACAAGGAAGGAGCUAUUUAGCAACUGUUUUCCAAGCCUUUGCUGGUCAUUUGCUCUCCUGAUGAGAGCAAUGGCUUCCAGAGUCAGCUGCAAUGGAAGGAAAAGGUCAGGACAACAUCUCACUUGGCUUUCCCAAAUGAGGCUUGGUCCCCCAGGGAGAGUCAUUGCUCUCUGGUGUGAUUUGGCAUCAACCACUUGUGAGCAGCAGGGAGGUUUGGGCUGAGUGUUUGCUGCAGAUCUCUGGUUGGGGUUUGAUAGCCUUAUCUUCCCUCUUGAGCCCACUGCUGACCCAGACUUGCAAAUGAGUGACCCAUUGGAAAAGUACAAUGACACUUGGCAUCUGAAGAGCUGUUUAGUAGAAAAUGUGGCAUUUGGAAUCUAAUAUAAAGUAAUUGGAGAGGGAAAUUCCAUGAUCUUAUGAAUUUCACUUAAAUAUCUUCUGUGAAAAAUCAACUCGGGUAUUACCUGUUGGUGGUUGGGUCUGAGCUAAGUGUUUUCAGGUGACAAAGAACAUGACUGUCCAAGUUAGGGUUAUGGUUGCUGUGUUGAGGCACCAUGACUGAAAGCAACUUGAGGAGGAAAGGGUUUUAAUUGGCUUCUGCUUCCACAUCAUUGUUCAUCACUGAAGGA